Molecule: ribosomal RNA, 705 nt
Filed under: Massilia sp.
Lineage: Bacteria; Pseudomonadati; Pseudomonadota; Betaproteobacteria; Burkholderiales; Oxalobacteraceae
Description: bacterial SSU rRNA
Rfam family: Bacterial small subunit ribosomal RNA
Source: RNAcentral
GGGCAACCUGGCGGCGAGUGGCGAACGGGUGAGUAAUAUAUCGGAACGUACCCAGAAGUGGGGGAUAACGUAGCGAAAGUUACGCUAAUACCGCAUACGAUCUACGGAUGAAAGUGGGGGACCUUCGGGCCUCAUGCUUUUGGAGCGGCCGAUAUCUGAUUAGCUAGUUGGUGAGGUAAAGGCUCACCAAGGCGACGAUCAGUAGCUGGUCUGAGAGGACGACCAGCCACACUGGGACUGAGACACGGCCCAGACUCCUACGGGAGGCAGCAGUGGGGAAUUUUGGACAAUGGGCGCAAGCCUGAUCCAGCAAUGCCGCGUGAGUGAAGAAGGCCUUCGGGUUGUAAAGCUCUUUUGUCAGGGAAGAAACGGCUGAGGCUAAUACCUUCGGCUAAUGACGGUACCUGAAGAAUAAGCACCGGCUAACUACGUGCCAGCAGCCGCGGUAAUACGUAGGGUGCAAGCGUUAAUCGGAAUUACUGGGCGUAAAGCGUGCGCAGGCGGUUUUGUAAGUCUGACGUGAAAUCCCCGGGCUCAACCUGGGAAUUGCGUUGGAGACUGCAAGGCUGGAGUCUGGCAGAGGGGGGUAGAAUUCCACGUGUAGCAGUGAAAUGCGUAGAGAUGUGGAGGAACACCGAUGGCGAAGGCAGCCCCCUGGGUCAAGACUGACGCUCAUGCACGAAAGCGUGGGGAGCAAACAGGAUU